CUGCUUCACUGACAUCCAGGGGUUUUUGCAAUCCACACGGCACAGAUUUUUUUGAUUAUGUAGAUUUUUUUUUUCCUCCUCUAUUGCAGUUUCAUAUGCAAAGCAUGCAUCAGCCACAUCCAUGCUAUCUCCUAAAGCAGUCAUUCUGAAACCCAAUCUGGGGACAGUGCAGACUAAAUAAAAUUUCAUUUUGAUUUGGCCUCCCGCUGAGAAUGGGACUGCUUUGUUUCAGCCGACAGAACCAGCAAGCCAGAAAGGUGUUGAAUACACAAAUACUGACUUAACAGAAAAUUAUAUAAAAAGAAGCAAAAUUGUUGGGGUGCAUACGAUUUCAAAAUAUUACUUCAUAAUGAGCAUAAAACACAGCUUAAAGCACAUAUUAUGGGUCCAGAAGAACACAUCUUUCAGUCUUCAAGAAGUAUUUAAACUACUCUGGCAGAUGAAGCCAGGAAAUUGUGAUGCCCUGAGCAACUCUUUUGGAUCACUUGGAAAACUCUGUAAAAAUGAAGAAUAGACCUCACAGAUCUCCUAAUUUUAAGAAUAAACCCGUAGUUUUGAAAAUUGUCA
Zonotrichia albicollis (white-throated sparrow) is the source of this 567-nucleotide long non-coding RNA. The record is from Ensembl. NCBI's taxonomy places the organism in Eukaryota, Metazoa, Chordata, Aves, Passeriformes, Passerellidae.